AAUACGUCUGACGUGUACAAGGCCUUUUUAGGGCCCUACUUGAUAGGAAGUCCCUCUGGUGGCCGUCUGAGUGACGGCCACUGGAGGUAUUCCUAUCAAUCAAUGUAAACACUGUAUUUUCUCUAAAAAUACAGUGUUUACAUUAGAUUGUCUGCAGGGAGCUAUAGAUCUCACCUGAACAACUACAUUAAGCUGUAGUUGUUCAAGUCACUAUAGUGUCCCUUUAAUGGUCUUCCUGCUUCUGUGCAGGAAAUUUAAAGGACCACUCCACACCCAUAAAGCACUUCAUCUUCAGUAUUAAAGAGCCACUAUUUCUAGAGAAAUCUGCACUUUUUUAGUAAGGUAAUGAAGCAUCCCUGGCUGUCAAUAAAGCAGUCAUGGCGAUUUGCUUUUAUCUUCCUUUAGCUCCCCUCAAGUAGAACGCGCCUGCCUCCCCCCAAAUACUUCUUCUCAGACCUUAGAUCGGGGCAGCAUUCAUUCUGAAUGCUGUGCAGUUUGUGUGUGCCCCCAUGAGUAGAAGCGCAUGAUUGAGCAGGAGCGCACUUGCACAGAGACAUAGUUUCAGAGGCUUCUCAUUGAGAAGCCUCUGAUAGGCUAUUUCCCCCGUGAAGAAACAGUCUCUUCCGGGUGAAAAGGGGCCUGCUUGCAAAGGCUACAGUUUAUAAGAACUCGGCUUUUGCAAGUUCUUUUAAAGGGACACUAUAGGCACCCAGACCACCCCAGUGGUCUGGGUGCAAUGUCCCAUAUCCCUUAACCUAACAGUGGUAAUUAUUGCAGUUUCUGAGAAACUGAAAUAAUUACCUCUCAGGGUUAACUCCACCUCUACCAGACAGCCACUUAAGGGACAUCCGGGUGUUUAGAUGACUUUUCGUCAGUGCCACCGGAAUCCCCAGAUGAAAGCAUUAAUCAGUGCUUUCCUAUGGGGAAAUCCUAAUGCAAGUGUGGCCAUUGCCGCACAUGUGCAUUAAGGGUUCCCCGCCGGCUGAUGCCAGGAGAGGAGAGUGGGCGGAGCUUGACCCAGCGGACAUCUGGAUUCAGGUAACAG
This is a non-coding RNA of Pelobates cultripes (western spadefoot toad), 1045 nucleotides long. The record is from the annotation of a GenBank genome assembly. Lineage: Eukaryota; Metazoa; Chordata; Amphibia; Anura; Pelobatidae.